GGGGGGGGGGGGGGGGGGGGGGGGCGGGGGGGGGUCGGGCGGGGGCGCGGGGGGGCGGGCGCUGUGGGUGGGGGGUGGCGGACGGGUGAGGGAUACAUCGGGAUCUGCCCAGUCGUGGGGGGGGGCGGCGGGGAAAUUAUGCGGAUACCGCGUCCGGCCUUCGGGCGACAGCGGGGGGUCGCAAGACCCCUCGCGCGUGGAUGAGCAGAUGUCGGAUUAGCUAGUUGGCGGGGUAAUGGCCCACCAAGGCGACGAUCCGUAGCUGGUCUGAGAGGAUGAUCAGCCACACUGGAACUGAGACACGGUCCAGACUCCUACGGGAGGCAGCAGUGGGGAAUAUUGGACAAUGGGCGCAAGCCUGAUCCAGCCAUACCGCGUGGGUGAAGAAGGCCUUCGGGUUGUAAAGCCCUUUUGUUGGGAAAGAAAUCUUUCAGGCUAAUACCCUGGGAGGAUGACGGUACCCAAAGAAUAAGCACCGGCUAACUUCGUG
This 490-nucleotide ribosomal RNA is filed under the name uncultured bacterium. RNAcentral describes it as "partial 16S ribosomal RNA". It matches the Rfam family "Bacterial small subunit ribosomal RNA", at positions 39 to 507 of the family's 1533-position model. The record is from RNAcentral.